This 498-nucleotide ribosomal RNA is filed under the name uncultured bacterium. RNAcentral's name for it is "bacterial SSU rRNA". It matches the Rfam family "Bacterial small subunit ribosomal RNA", at positions 28 to 524 of the family's 1533-position model. The record is from RNAcentral.
GAUGAACGCUAGCGGCGGGCCUAAUACAUGCAAGUCGAACGAGAUUAUUGGUAGCAAUACUGAUAUGAAAGUGGCGCACGGGUGCGUAACACGUAUGUAACCUACCUUUAACUGGGGAAUAGCUUCGAGAAAUCGAAAUUAAUACCCCAUAACAUUUAGAAAAGGCAUCUUUUCUUUAUCAAAGUUCAGGCGGUUAAAGAUGGACAUGCGGUGCAUUAGCUUGUUGGUGAGGUAAUGGCUCACCAAGGCUACGAUGCAUAGGGGGUCUGAGAGGAUGAUCCCCCACACUGGUACUGAGACACGGACCAGACUCCUACGGGAGGCAGCAGUAGGGAAUAUUGGGCAAUGGACGAAAGUCUGACCCAGCCACGCCGCGUGAAGGAUGACUGCCCUAUGGGUUGUAAACUUCUUUGUAUGGGAAGAACCUCCGAACGUGUUCGGAGCUGACGGUACCAUAAGAUAAGCAUCGGCUAACUACGUGCCAGCAGCCGCGGUAAU